RNAcentral lists this ribosomal RNA (229 nucleotides) under uncultured bacterium. RNAcentral describes it as "partial 16S ribosomal RNA". It matches the Rfam family "Bacterial small subunit ribosomal RNA", at positions 568 to 796 of the family's 1533-position model. The record is from RNAcentral.
UACGUAGGCGGGAAAUUAAGUCAGUGGUGAAAUCCCGCAGCUUAACUGUGGAACUGUCAUUGAUACUGGUUUUCUUGAAUUUAGUUGAGGUAGGCGGAAUGUGUAAUGUAGCGGUGAAAUGCUUAGAUAUUACACAGAACACCGAUUGCGAAGGCAGCUUACUAAGCUAUGAUUGACGCUGAGGUACGAAAGCGUGGGGAGCGAACAGGAUUAGAUACCCUGGUAGUCC